GCCAGCCGCCGCGGUAAUACGGAGGGUCCAAGCGUUAUCCGGAUUUAUUAGGUUUAAAGGGUCCGCAGGCGGGAUAUUAAGUCAGUGGUGAAAGCCUACAGCUCAACUGUAGAACUGCCAUUGAUACUGAUAUUCUUGAGUGUGGUUGAAGUAGGCGGAACAUGUCAUGUAGCGGUGAAAUGCAUAGAUAUGACAUAGAACACCAAUUGCGAAGGCAGCUUACUAAGCCAUUACUGACGCUGAGGGACGAAAGCGUGGGGAGCGAACAGGAUUAGAUACCCUGGUAGUCCACGCCGUAAACGAUGAUCACUCGUUGCUAGCGAUACACUGUUAGUGACCAAGCGAAAGUGUUAAGUGAUCCACCUGGGAAGUACGUUCGCAAGAAUGAAACUCAAAGGAAUUGACGGGGGCCCGCACAAGCGGUGGAGCAUGUGGUUUAAUUCGAUGAUACGCGAGGAACCUUACCAGGGCUUAAAUGCAGAAUGACAGAUUGGGAAACCAGUCCUUCUUCGGACAUUUUGCAAGGUGCUGCAUGGUUGUCGUCAGCUCGUGCCGUGAGGUGUCAGGUUAAGUCCUAUAACGAGCGCAACCCCUAUCAUUAGUUGCCAGCGGGUAAUGCCGGGAACUCUAAUG
This 633-nucleotide ribosomal RNA is filed under the name uncultured bacterium. Its description in RNAcentral is "SSU rRNA". It matches the Rfam family "Bacterial small subunit ribosomal RNA", at positions 507 to 1145 of the family's 1533-position model. The record is from RNAcentral.